UACGAAGGGGGCUAGCGUUGCUCGCAAUCACUGGGCGUAAAGGGUGCGUAGGCGGGUCUUUAAGUCAGGGGUGAAAUCCUGGAGCUCAACUCCAGAACUGCCUUUGAUACUGAAGAUCUUGAGUUCGGGAGAGGUGAGUGGAACUGCGAGUGUAGAGGUGAAAUUCGUAGAUAUUCGCAAGAACACCAGUGGCGAAGGCGGCUCACUGGCCCGAUACUGACGCUGAGGCACGAAAGCGUGGGGAGCAAACAGG
RNAcentral lists this ribosomal RNA (253 nucleotides) under uncultured bacterium. RNAcentral describes it as "partial 16S ribosomal RNA". It matches the Rfam family "Bacterial small subunit ribosomal RNA", at positions 524 to 776 of the family's 1533-position model. The record is from RNAcentral.